UUGGAGGGCAAGUCUGGUGCCAGCAGCCGCGGUAAUUCCAGCUCCAAUAGCGUAUAUUAAAGUUGUUGCAGUUAAAAAGCUCGUAGUUGAAUUUCGGGAUCAUCAGGUUGGUCGUGCCACUGGUAUGUACUAGCUUUGAUGAUUCCUCCCUCUUGAAGAACCGUAAUGUCAUUAAUUUGGUGUUGCGGGGAAUCAGGACUGUUACUUUGAAAAAAUUAGAGUGUUUAAAGCAGGC
Molecule: ribosomal RNA, 235 nt
Filed under: uncultured Glomus
Lineage: Eukaryota; Fungi; Glomeromycota; Glomeromycetes; Glomerales; Glomeraceae
Description: partial 18S ribosomal RNA
Rfam family: Eukaryotic small subunit ribosomal RNA
Source: RNAcentral